This 396-nucleotide ribosomal RNA is filed under the name uncultured bacterium. RNAcentral's name for it is "partial 16S ribosomal RNA". It matches the Rfam family "Bacterial small subunit ribosomal RNA", at positions 523 to 918 of the family's 1533-position model. The record is from RNAcentral.
AUACGUAGGUGGCAAGCGUUGUCCGGAAUUACUGGGUGUAAAGGGAGCGCAGGCGGGGGAGCAAGUCAGCUGUGAAAUGCAUGGGCUUAACCGAUGAACUGCAGUUGAAACUGUUCUUCUUGAGUGAAGUAGAGGUUGGCGGAAUUCCGAGUGUAGCGGUGAAAUGCGUAGAUAUUCGGAGGAACACCGGUGGCGAAGGCGGCCAACUGGGCUUUUACUGACGCUGAGGCUCGAAAGUGUGGGGAGCAAACAGGAUUAGAUACCCUGGUAGUCCACACUGUAAACGAUGAUUGCUAGGUGUGGGGGGUCUGACCCCUUCUGUGCCGCAGCUAACGCAAUAAGCAAUCCACCUGGGGAGUACGGCCGCAAGGCUGAAACUCAAAGGAAUUGGCGGGG